Molecule: long non-coding RNA, 437 nt
Filed under: Physcomitrium patens
Lineage: Eukaryota; Viridiplantae; Streptophyta; Bryopsida; Funariales; Funariaceae
Description: long non-coding RNA (PPAT_LNC014546)
Source: RNAcentral
CUGAUUUAUUUUCCUCGAUACAAUGCUCUCAUUCUUAUUAACCAUAAUCUUGCUUCAAACACUAAUGAAAUCAUCUUCCAUUGCCAAUUUUCUCACACGUUUGAUAAUUAAUUCCUAACACUCAAAGCUAUUAUCACUCCUCGGUAGCGGUGCCAAAAUGUGAUGACUCGUUUUAUUUAUUCUAAAUUAAUCUAAUAGGAAUAAAUCCGUAUAGGAGGAUUUGAACACAGAGAAUGACUAAUUGCUUAAGCAUUCACGUUAGGGUCACACAAUCAAUUACCUCCUGAAUGUAUCAUCUCUAUUUCCAAUAUCUAAACACACAAGGAAACUAUAAUCUCCUCCUUCACCUUAUCGGUCUCUUUGUUACAACAAUUGAGUCAUACCAAUAACUGCUAUUUCUACCCAUAUAUUCACCCUCAUAAUCUCCGACUAUAAUA